CCCUUAGAUGUCCUGGGCCGCACGCGCGCUACACUGACAUGUUCAAAAAGCCUCCUAGUUCGACAGGAUUUGGGAAAUCUUUGAACGCAUGUCGUGAUAGGGAUAGAUCAUUGCAAUUAUUGAUCUUGAACGAGGAAUUCCUAGUAAACGCGAGUCAUCAGCUCGCAUUGAUUACGUCCCUGCCCUUUGUACACACCGCCCGUCGCACCUACCGAUUGAAUGUUUCGGUGAAGAUUCCGGAUAGGACUUUUUUGAUUUAUUUCAAUUUUGUCUUAAAAGCUAUCUAAACCUCAACAUUUAGAGGAAGGUGAAGUCGUAACA
Molecule: ribosomal RNA, 321 nt
Filed under: uncultured eukaryote
Lineage: Eukaryota
Description: partial 18S ribosomal RNA
Rfam family: Eukaryotic small subunit ribosomal RNA
Source: RNAcentral